Molecule: non-coding RNA, 73 nt
Organism: Acromyrmex echinatior (Panamanian leafcutter ant)
Lineage: Eukaryota; Metazoa; Arthropoda; Insecta; Hymenoptera; Formicidae
Source: Rfam
GCUUGGGUAGCUUAGUGGUAAAAGCAAUCGCCCGGCAAGCGAAAGAUCCGGGUUCAAUUCCCGGUCUAGAGUC